This 249-nucleotide ribosomal RNA is filed under the name uncultured bacterium. Its description in RNAcentral is "partial 16S ribosomal RNA". It matches the Rfam family "Bacterial small subunit ribosomal RNA", at positions 796 to 1041 of the family's 1533-position model. The record is from RNAcentral.
CACGCCGUAAACGUUGUGCACUAGGUGUGGGAGGUAUCGACCCCUUCCGUGCCGCAGCUAACGCAUUAAGUGCACCGCCUGGGGAGUACGGUCGCAAGACUGAAACUCAAAGGAAUUGACGGGGGCCCGCACAAGCGGUGGAGCAUGUGGUUUAAUUCGAGGCAACGCGAAGAACCUUACCCAGACUUGACAUCCCGGGAAUCCCUUGGAAACGAGGGAGUGCCUUUCGGGGAACCCGGUGACAGGUGU